This 434-nucleotide ribosomal RNA is filed under the name uncultured bacterium. RNAcentral describes it as "bacterial SSU rRNA". It matches the Rfam family "Bacterial small subunit ribosomal RNA", at positions 29 to 447 of the family's 1533-position model. The record is from RNAcentral.
AAUCAACGCUGGCGGCGUGCCUAGCACAUGCAAGUCGAACGCGAAAGCCCCGCAAGGGGCAAGUAGAGUGGCAAACGGGUGAGUAACACGUGGGUGACCUGCCUUCGAGCGGGGGAUAACGUCCCGAAAGGGACGCUAAUACCGCAUAACAUCCUGCCUUUGAAGAGGUGGAGAUCAAAGCUGGGGAUCGCAAGACCCGGCACUUGAAGAGGGGCCCGCGCCUGAUUAGCUAGUUGGUGGGGUAAUGGCCUACCAAGGCAACGAUCAGUAUCCGGCCUGAGAGGGCGGACGGACACACUGGGACUGAGACACGGGCCCAGACUCCUACGGGAGGCAGCAGUGGGGAAUUGUUCGCAAUGGGCGCAAGCCUGACGACGCAACGCCGCGUGGAGGAUGAAGAUUUUCGGGAUCGUAAACUCCUGUCGAAUGGGACG